This 253-nucleotide ribosomal RNA is filed under the name uncultured bacterium. RNAcentral's name for it is "partial 16S ribosomal RNA". It matches the Rfam family "Bacterial small subunit ribosomal RNA", at positions 524 to 776 of the family's 1533-position model. The record is from RNAcentral.
UACGAAGGGUACGAGCGUUAUUCGGAGUUACUGGGCGUAAAGAGCGUGUAGGCGGCCUGUUAAGUUAGAUGUUAAAUUCCUCGGCCUAACCGGGGGCAAGCAUCUAAAACUGGCUGGCUAGAGUUCAAGAGAGAGAAGUAGAAUUCCCGGAGUAGCGGUAAAAUGCGUAGAUCUCGGGAGGAAUACCGAUGGCGAAAGCAGCUUCUUGGCUUGUAACUGACGCUGGAGCGCGAAAGCGUGGGGAGCAAACAGG